GAUGAACGCUGGCGGCGUGCCUAACACAUGCAGGUCGAGCGGCAGCGAGGGGUGCUUGCACCCUGUCGGCGAGCGGCGGACGGCUGAGUAACGCGUGGGAACGUGCCCCAAAGUGAGGAAUAACUGCCCGAAAGGGUAGCUAAUACCGCAUAUUAUCUUCGGAUCAAAGGAUUUAUCCGCUUUGGGAGCGGCUCGCGUCGGAUUAGGUAGUUGGUGAGGUAAUGGCUCACCAAGCCGACGAUCCGUAGCUGGUCUGAGAGGAUGACCAGCCAGACUGGAACUGAGACACGGUCCAGACUCCUACGGGAGGCAGCAGUGAGGAAUCUUCCACAAUGGGCGAAAGCCUGAUGGAGCAACGCCGCGUGCAGGACGAAGGCCUUCGGGUUGUAAACUGCUUUUAUAAGUGAGGAAUAUGACGGUAACUUAUGAAUAAGGAUCGGCUAACUACGUG
This 451-nucleotide ribosomal RNA is filed under the name uncultured bacterium. Its description in RNAcentral is "partial 16S ribosomal RNA". It matches the Rfam family "Bacterial small subunit ribosomal RNA", at positions 28 to 507 of the family's 1533-position model. The record is from RNAcentral.